Molecule: non-coding RNA, 689 nt
Filed under: Grandidierella fasciata
Lineage: Eukaryota; Metazoa; Arthropoda; Malacostraca; Amphipoda; Corophiidae
Source: RNAcentral
AAAAAGUUUAACUCUGGCUUUUAUUAUAAUUUAAGUAAGAUUUUCAUGAGAAUUUUGUGAUAUAAUAUAAAUAGAUUAAUCUUUUAGAUAGAUAUUUAAUAUUAUUGUGGAUAGAAAUAUCUGUAUGGGUUAUUUAAGAAUAAGUAAAGAGGGUGCCAGCAGCUGCGGUUAGACUCUAUAUUAUUAUAAAUAAUAAGAUAUAUUUAUUGAUUGAGUAAAUUCUCUUAUUUAGGUGAAAUUUUGUUUUUUAAAAUUAACAUUGAGAAAUAAAUAAAGUUUGACAAACUAGGAUUAGAUACCCUAUUAUUUUCUUUUGCUUAGAUUAUUAAGGAUAAAAUUAAUUAGUUUGGCGGCUAGAUAAUUUAGAGGAAUUUGCUUUUUAAACGAUAAACCCCGUUGAAUUUUUCUCUUUUUUUUGUUUAUAUAUCAUUAUUAAAUUUUUUUUGGAAGAUUAUAAAUAAGAUUAUUUUUAUAAAUUUAGAUCAAGAUGUAGCUAUGAGGGAGUUAAAGUUAAUUACAAUAAGUAUUAUUAUAUUAAACAUAAUGCAAUAGUUGUGGUUUUAAGUGGAUUUAAACGUAAUUUUUGUUUAUAAAAAUGAGUGGUUUUUUCUAGUGUACAAAUUGCCCGUCAUUCUCUAUGAGACAAGUCGAAACAAAGUAAGCGUACUUGAAAGUGUGCUUAAAAACAA